AUUGUAUGUGAGUCUCUCACAUGGCUGGUCUAGCUGACUUGUUUCUAAUACUGCUAGCUGCCUUGUGAAGGGCUUACGUGUUUU
Molecule: non-coding RNA, 84 nt
Organism: Drosophila persimilis
Lineage: Eukaryota; Metazoa; Arthropoda; Insecta; Diptera; Drosophilidae
Source: Rfam